RNAcentral lists this ribosomal RNA (534 nucleotides) under Triticum aestivum (bread wheat). RNAcentral's name for it is "partial small subunit ribosomal RNA". Lineage: Eukaryota; Viridiplantae; Streptophyta; Magnoliopsida; Poales; Poaceae. The record is from RNAcentral.
AUGGGAAGCGCCGGAGCCACCCUCGUCCGCUUCCUGCUGUUGGCGUCGAUCGUGGCCGGGUUCGCGGCGCAUCUCGCCGCGGGGGAGAAGGACUGCUACGACGAGAGGGACAGCGUCAUCCGCAUGUGCAAGUGGACCAUCAAGAAGGGGAGCCCCUACCUGACCCCAGACAUGCCCUGCCGCCUCGAGGCGAGGAAGGUGGACAUGCCCUGCAUCUGCCGCGUGCUCACCGCCGCCGACGAGCGGAUCAUCAGCCCCGAGAAGCUCGUACGCUGCUCCCGCGAAGCCGGCGUCGCCCUCCCCGUCGGGAGCAAAUGCGGGAGUAAGCAUUCAUGCAUCCAGCGCCUGAUGCUUCUUUUCCAUUACUGUUUUUCUUGCCACGGACUAGCUCAUCUUAUCCACGCACGUGAUUUUUGCAGCCUACACAAUCGUGGCGCCAGCGCCGCCAUGCGCGCAUGCGUGAGGAGUUCCGAUCACGGGAUCGUGCGAGAGGAAGGCGAGGGAAGGGCCGGAGGAGAUGUCAGGGGAGAAUAA